CCUACGGGUGGCUGCAGUAGGGCAUCUUCCACAUUGGGCGAAAGCCUGAUGCAGCAACGCCGCGUGGGUGAAGAAGGUCUUCGGAUCGUAAACCCCUGUUGUUAGAGAAGAAAGUGCGUGAGUGUAACUGUUCACGUUUCGACGGUAUCUUACCAGCAAGCGACGGCUAACUACGUGCCAGCAGCCGCGGUAAUACGUAGGUGGCAAGCGUUAUCCGGGUUUAUUGGGCGUAAAGGGCACGCAGGCGGGUUUAUAAGUCUGAUGUGAAAGCCUUCGGCUUAACCGGAGUAGUGCAUUGGAAACUGGGAUACUAGAGUGCAGAAGAGGAGAGUGGAACUCCUGGUGUAGCGGUGAAAUGCGUAGAUAUAUGGAAGAACACUAGUGGCGAAAGCGACUCUCUAGACUGUAACUGACGCUGAGGUUCGAAAGCGUGGGUAGCAAACAGGAUUAGAUACCCGUGUAGUC
This 465-nucleotide ribosomal RNA is filed under the name uncultured bacterium. RNAcentral describes it as "partial 16S ribosomal RNA". It matches the Rfam family "Bacterial small subunit ribosomal RNA", at positions 338 to 795 of the family's 1533-position model. The record is from RNAcentral.